CUAGACCCAAAUAACACAAAAACGACACACACCUAUUAUUAUUCAUUGUCUCCCUCACUGAGCCCAACCUCAACUAGCCUGAAACUCAGGCGAGUUCACUCAAAUGGGUCCCCUCCUCUCCAUGUCACGUUAUUCCAACGGUUUUUGUCAGAGAAGAAAGAAUAUUCUCUCCAAAUUUGCACGAUUUCUAUACGAUGGAACGAUUUGCUGGAUGAAUGGGAGCCGUAGAUGGAUGUAAAUCGAUACAUGCCUUCCAUUUGUCCCAAAAAUCGUUAAAACAUGAGGAUUUUCGGUUAUUUGGGCAGAAGCUUCGAGAUUUUUUGAAGGGUUAUAUAAAAGGUGAAUUUUCUUGUUUAAAGGGUAAGGAAAUAUCAGCAAAAAAAGCUUUAGAAAAUUUAGUAGUAAAAUUUCUAGGGGUUUGAAGUUUUUCUUCUUCUGAAGCCUUUUCUUUUCUGAUUAGACAUCUUUUCAAAAAGAAAAAAAAAAUAUAUAAAGUAUGGUCUGAGUUUGAUUGUUGAUUCAAGUUUCACUUCAUUUCAAAAGAAUUCAAAAAUUACAAAUCUCCGCAUUUUCUCUUCGAUCUCUAUUCUUCAAGUAUGGUUUUGGAUUGAAGUUUAAGUUGGGGUUUUGUCACUGGGAUUUGGAGCUUUGGCACUGUGGUUUUUCUGUCCGAUUUUUGCUUGCAAUUUGGAUUUGGUUGGCUGAUCUGUUGAGCUAUUGUUACUCUCACUGAAUUUCUUCUGCCAUUCCAGAGUUUCAUUUGAUAUUUUUAGUUGUUUUGCUAAUAGGUAUGUUCAUCUUGUUUGUUGCUUUACAUCGGAUCAUGAAAUGAAAAAUUGCUUUCGUUAGUUUCUGCCUAGUUUUGUAAGACCAGUUGGCUCAAUCAUUGAUACUAGCUUUGAAUCCCUCUCAUUGUUUGUUUUUGGUUUCAGUAGAAUAAGUCAAAUAUAUUUGAGAAUGAUGUUGUUGUAUGUAAAGAUUAAAAUAUUAAGUUUUUUAAAGUGCUCAUUGAUUCGUGCAUUACUUUCUGUAGCAUCUUCUCGUUUAGACUAAAGAUUCAUGCUUUAAACGACACAGCGAUAAAACAUAAUAUAUGUUUGUAUGUGUGUGUUUAUUGAUGUGCAUUGGCUUUAGGUUGUUUAAUCACUUCUUCUCUUUUUCUUUUAGUUAUCUUAUCAGUUACCUAUCCCAUUAGAACCCCUUCAUAUAUAACAUCGUCAAAAGCUCUCGUGUAAUGGUUCUAUUGCAUCUCUUUAUUUCUAUCCCAGCUCAUAAUGUAGUUUCAAUUUGGUCUUAUAUGAUUAGUCUCGUUUAUGAAAGUUCCUUUCCUUAUAUGUUUACUAGUAAAGUUAGAAUUUUUAUUGUACAAUUGUCUAUUACACCCGUAAAGGGGACUUCUCUCUACCCUGUUAUUCAUUGCCCAAAUUCUUACUGUUCCUCUCACGGGAUCUGGAAUAGUGAGAGGAGUUGGAGUCCUUAGGCUGGAAGGUGAUACAGGGGGGGGGGGGGGUAAGGAAGUAGUUAUGGAACAAUACAUAUUUUUGCCCAAAACCCAUUCCUCUAGAUGUCAUUCUAUGAGAAGAUAUAUAUGUUUGUCAGAAAAUCCAGCUGCUUAUUUUCCUACUCUAUGAUUAUUUGGGGGAAAAAUGCAAAGAUUUUUACAUAGAUAGCUAAGGUUUUAUCUGUAGUGUCUCAUGAAAUUUAUGUGCAACUGAUCGAGAUUCAUGUCUAUUUCUUGUAUGAUGUGUGUGUGCGAGUACUAUUUUAUUUGUAUUUCUGAUGUUCAUUCAUUCACUGUCAGUCAGGUAAAAUUGAAAGACUAAUGUUUAAUCCUUAAUUAAAAGAAUGAAUGUGUGCAAACAAGUCACAUAUGUUUGUAAAGACUGAUUUCUUUUAUUUACUAUUUUUGUCACUAUGUGUAUAUGUUUGUCAGCAUGUCAGAGGUUCCAAUGGAGUAAGGACAUUUGAAUUCACUCUUGCUUUAUCAAUUAUGCAGCAGCCAACUCAUUAUGCCUGUAGCAGGGAAUCUCUUUUGGCCUGCGUUUGGGUUUAAUUGCAUAACCUGCACCUGGGCUCAAUUUUGAGCCCAAUGAGUGAUGAUGCCCAUCUCUUUUUUUAAAAAAAAGAGGAGAAGCGUGCAAUAAUACACUACACAUGCCGUUGGCCCAGUUUCCUGCCUCGAUUAGCUUAGGCAUGUUGCAUUGCUUUAUACAUUAAUCAAUGUCUUGAGCCUAAUUUUGGAUGUAAAUAUAUUUAGGUUUAAUUAAGUGUAAUCCUUUUAAAAUGGUUGGAGGUGUGCCAUCUUUCAUU
Molecule: long non-coding RNA, 2310 nt
Filed under: Nicotiana tabacum (common tobacco)
Lineage: Eukaryota; Viridiplantae; Streptophyta; Magnoliopsida; Solanales; Solanaceae
Description: long non-coding RNA (NTAB_LNC004276)
Source: RNAcentral